CCUACGGGGGGCAGCAGUGAGGAAUAUUGGUCAAUGGGAGAGAUCCUGAACCAGCCAAGCCGCGUGAGGGAAGACGGCCCUAUGGGUUGUAAACCUCUUUUGUCGGAGAACAAAACCCGGGACGUGUCCCGGACUGCGUGUAUCCGAAGAAAAAGCAUCGGCUAACUCCGUGCCAGCAGCCGCGGUAAUACGGAGGAUGCGAGCGUUAUCCGGAUUUAUUGGGUUUAAAGGGUGCGCAGGCGGUCUGUUAAGUCAGCGGUCAAAGCCCGGGGCUCAACCCCGGCCCGCCGUUGAAACUGGCAGUC
RNAcentral lists this ribosomal RNA (305 nucleotides) under uncultured bacterium. RNAcentral's name for it is "bacterial SSU rRNA". It matches the Rfam family "Bacterial small subunit ribosomal RNA", at positions 338 to 641 of the family's 1533-position model. The record is from RNAcentral.